UACGUAGGGUGCAAGCGUUGUCCGGAAUUAUUGGGCGUAAAGAGCUCGUAGGCGGCUUGUCGCGUCGGCUGUGAAAACCUGGGGCUCAACCCCGGGCCUGCAGACGAUACGGGCAAGCUAGAAUUCGGUAGGGGAGACUGGAAUUCCUGGUGUAGCGGUGAAAUGCGCAGAUAUCAGGAGGAACACCGGUGGCGAAGGCGGGUCUCUGGGCCGAUAUUGACGCUGAGGAGCGAAAGCGUGGGGAGCGAACAGG
This 253-nucleotide ribosomal RNA is filed under the name uncultured bacterium. Its description in RNAcentral is "partial 16S ribosomal RNA". It matches the Rfam family "Bacterial small subunit ribosomal RNA", at positions 524 to 776 of the family's 1533-position model. The record is from RNAcentral.